UUCCAGCGGUUGUGUACGACGAGGC
RNAcentral lists this non-coding RNA (25 nucleotides) under Rattus norvegicus (Norway rat). The record is from RNAcentral. Lineage: Eukaryota; Metazoa; Chordata; Mammalia; Rodentia; Muridae.